GGCUGAUUUUGUUUUAUGAUUUGAAAUCAUUUAUUUAAGUAUAAUGGUUGUACUUGUCAGUCU
Molecule: transfer RNA, 63 nt
Filed under: Mytilisepta virgata
Lineage: Eukaryota; Metazoa; Mollusca; Bivalvia; Mytilida; Mytilidae
Description: tRNA-Ser
Source: RNAcentral